This is a long non-coding RNA of Rosa chinensis, 3863 nucleotides long. RefSeq lists it as uncharacterized. The record is from RefSeq and is a predicted model, not a curated record. Lineage: Eukaryota; Viridiplantae; Streptophyta; Magnoliopsida; Rosales; Rosaceae. The transcript is spliced from 7 exons.
ACAUGACGUAGUACUUGGGGCUGGGCCCUCAAGUCUAGCCCAAUGCUCUCUUCUCUUGUAAAAUUGAGAAAACUCCUUUUAGAAAUCUCUAAAACCUCUCCUUCUGUCUCUAUUCAUGAAAAUGGAGAAAGCUUUCACUCUGGUUCAGACAGUUGCAGUGGCACCAGUCUUCUCUGCCGUUUCCUGCUGGUACUUACUUUCUCUCACUUCCCGGAAUUCCAUUCUUUUCAGGUUUGGAAGAGAAUCUGCUCGCAAAGAGCUCGGAAGCUUAAUCCAAGACCUUCGCCGCCAGAAUCCCAAUUCCUGACUUCAUUGGGUUGAUGGCAUCAGGUGGGCAGUGUGGAAAUCCCUUCAUUUGUUAAAGCUUGAGAAAACAUUGUCUUAAGGCCUUACUGGAAAACUCCUUUGGCCAUCUUCGGCUGUUUUCAGAAAGGAUCAUAUUGUACUUGGGCAUUUGGUGGUUGUUUGCAGUGUAUUGGUACACAGCGGCAGGGUGCAUGGUGGACGUUACUAGGCCUUUAUCAGGCCAAUGCUUUCUGAUCAUUGGUUCAUGGCAUCAGGUGGGCAGUGUGGAAAUCCCUUCAUUUGUUAAAGCUUGAGAAAACACUGUCUUAAGGCCUUACUGCAAAACUCCUAUGGCCAUCUUCGGCUGUUUUCAGGUCAUCUUACCUAUCCUUGACAGCAGAAUACCCUGCCUCGAAAUCUCUACCUUCACUAAGAAGCAUACCAUAAUUGUACAAAGAGAAAGAGCAGAAUUUGAAGGCUUUCUCAUUCCAAGAGCUCAGGGAUUCAACCAAUGGCUUCAGCAGGUUGCAAAAGCUUGGUGAAGGAGGCUUUCAGAGUGUGUAUAAAGGAAUAAUCAUGCCCAAAAAUGGCCAGGGUAGUCCAAUUUUGGUUGCCAUAGAAAAGUUGAAUCCACAUAGCAUACAGGUUCCAAUUCUUAUCUUCAUUACGGAACUUUAGCUGUUUGGUUAAUUUUUCCAUUUUUUCUGUCUGUUUUUCUUCCACUUGGAUUUUCUCCAUUACUACCUGGUUGGUUGGUUGGUUGGUUUUCUUAGUCUUGGAUGUUGAAUGAUUGUGAGUGGUAGUAAGUGGGGUGGAAAAAAGGGCAUGGGGUUACCAACCCAUCCUGUAAAUAAUCAAUAGAGAAUUUGCUAAAGUGAGUAGGGCAUGAAAAAAACUAAAUGCGACAAAAUGAUUUUCUAUUGAGGUUGAAAGAAAUUUGAAUGUCUUCUAUUGAUCAAGUCACGGAAGUUCUGUGUUAUACAUUAGUUCACGACCCUACAUGUAGUUCUGUGGUAUAUGACAAUUGUGGACCUUGGAAUCCAUCUGGUGCUGGAACUCUAGGAAUGUGGAGACAAUAAUUUAAUUUUCAGUGUUAGCAAGAACCAAAAGGAAGGUGAAUACUAAUAUAAGGCAAAUGGUUUUCAUGCAGUGCUCGAAAACCAUUCCUAAAGUGAAUGGUAAAUAGACUUGUUUCUCUCAGCUGGAAAACAUUUAUGCAGUGUUCUUUGUCUGACAAUGCUCUUACCAGUUACUAAAGAAAGAGAUUUUUACUCUCAAGAGCAUGAAUUGGAACAGAUUGUCAAAUUUUUUGGAAAUAGUACUUUAUAUUUGAGAAUGGAUAGAAGUAAUGAUUAAGCCCUUGAGAUGAUAUUGGCCUGUGUAAAAGAUGCAUCCCAUUACUCUUUUAAACUGUUGAGAAAGUCUCGCAUAUUCAACUGAACUCUAAGUUCAAAGUUAUCCUUUUUUAAACACCCAUUUUGGAGACAUUGUGUGCCUCUCUAUCAUUUUUAUCUAUUUAGUUGUCAAGCUUGUGGUUCUUUGCUCUUUUCAUAUCGGGUCAUAAAGCAUGGCUUGCAGAGGUUCAAUUUCUCGGUGUGGUAAAUCACCCAAAUCUGGUAAAGCUUCCAGGAUAUUGCUCUAUAAAUGGAGAAAGAGGGAUUCAACGGCUAUUGGUAUAUGAAUAUAUGCCUAAUAGAAGCUUAGAAGAUCAUCUUUUCAACAGGGCUUUGAAACCUCUUCCUUGGAUCACGAGGUUACAAAUAAUGCUUGGUGCUGCUCAAGGAUUGGCUUAUCUACACGAGGAACUGGGAGUCCAGGUGAAUAUAGUUUUCAUUUAUUUGACCUAUGUGUGACCAUGUAUUUCCUUUGAGUUUGUUUGGAAUGUAGAACUACCAUAUCAUGUGAACAUGUGACUCAUCUAUGUGAAUUUGACCAAUGGAAUACCAAAUCAGUAUAAUGACCUGCUUAAGCUAGUGAAGUAUUAGAACUAGGACUAGGAUGUAGCAACUACUUAUUAAGUCAUACAUGUUCUACUUGUUUGCUGCAUUUAUAGUGACAUCUCUGGUUUUGGAAAUUGCCUUCAGUUACAUACAUUGGUGGACACUGUCACUUCAGUAACCGUCCAUUAUCUUGAAUAUAUUCUGUACUCUAAAAACUUUAGCUGUUGGGACCCUGUGGUUGUGUCACAUGGUAUAAGAGUUCUUGAGUUCGCAGUUGUUCGGAAAUCCUCAAGGGCUAAUUGAGUGCGCCAAGGCUUUGGAUCAGAUCAGAUGAAUCGAUUUUGGGUGUGAUUUGCUCUAACAAAAACAAAGCAAGACCAAGGAUCAUGGAACACAUGCAUAAGUCAUUGGCAACUGCAACUUCUCAAGCUCAAGGAGCUUGUGCUGACCCCAUGGUAGACAGAUUGAGUAGUGUUCCAUGUGAAGUUGCUCACCAAAUUCUUUCAUUGGUCCGUUUUAGAUAUCUCACUCGCGUGGGUAGCAUGUCCAAAAGAUGCAGAGAGUUUUAUCUAUCAACUCCAUCAUUGAAUUUUUCUUCCUUUUAUGGAAACAGGCAGCAGCAAUUGCACAUGUUGAAUUGUAUAGAUAGGUAUAUGAUUCGUCGCACGGAUGAUAAGAUAAAGAGCUUUCGUAUUCAUUGGCGUUUCUCUGCAGGAAUUUCAGAAGAGAGUUUCCGAAUGAUGACUUGGAUCCUUAUUGCAGUGAGGUGCAAUGUUGAAGUGCUUGAUGUUGAGUUGAGGUUGAAUACAAAAGAUGGGGCAACACCUGAAUUGCCACCUUGCAUCUAUUGCUGUGAAUCUUUGAGGUCAAUGUUGAUCAACACUAAGCACCCUCCUUUGCUUGUUCCAAUAAUCUCCAGUACUUGAAGUUGACUAGUGUUAGAAUGGAUGAUGGGUUUGGAAAAUGGAUCUCAUGCUCAUGCAAAUUCAUUAAGGAACUAUUGUCAGAAAAUGUUCAUGUGGGAAGUUUCCCACUUGAAAGCUCGUCUUUGGAAUCAUUUACAUUGGUGUUUACCUAUAAUAGUGACCCCUGCCAUUUUAGCAUCUCAGGUGAGAAACUUGCAGAGAUAAGUAUAGAGUGGGAAAAUAGUCAAGCUAGCAGCUCUAUUACCAAAUCAUUAAAUGCUUAUACCCCAAAUCUGAAGUAUUUUAAAUGGAUUGGGAAUUUGUUGAAUUACCAAAAUUUGGGGAAAUUUAUGCGUUUAGAAAAAGCUCAUAUCUUUCUGAAGCAAAAGGGAGAUGAAUAUGACUUUGACAAUGCAUUUGAGGUUCUUUGCAGUUUCUACAGGGUUAAAUCACUUGUUCUGAGCGGGAGACUAUUAAGGUAUUGCUCAGGGAAGGUUCCAUGCAUGCCCCAUUGGAUGGUACUACCUGGGUGUGCAUAUUAAGAGCUUGACUGAUGACCUAGUCCCUGCAAUGGUCUCUCUUCUGAGAGGAGUGCCUAAUCUGAAGACUUUGUACAUCAAUUCUUACCCUUCCUUGUGUUUAAGUAAAAUAGAUUCGAGAGAGAAUGUUGAGAGAAUUGUGUAAUCGUAUUAUUGAGAAUAGGAGCCCUAUAUAUAGGGAUUACAAAGUACAU